UGCCAGCCGCCGCGGUAAUACGGAGGGUGCAAGCGUUAAUCGGAAUUACUGGGCGUAAAGCGUGCGUAGGCGGUUUGUUAAGUCAGAUGUGAAAGCCCCGGGCUUAACCUGGGAACCGCAUUUGAUACUGGCAAACUAGAAUGUGGUAGAGGGAAGUGGAAUUCCUCAUGUAGCGGUGAAAUGCGUAGAUAUGAGGAGGAACACCAGUGGCGAAGGCGACUUCCUGGACCAACAUUGACGCUGAGGUACGAAAGCGUGGGUAGCAAACAGGAUUAGAUA
Molecule: ribosomal RNA, 279 nt
Filed under: uncultured bacterium
Lineage: Bacteria
Description: partial 16S ribosomal RNA
Rfam family: Bacterial small subunit ribosomal RNA
Source: RNAcentral